Molecule: unclassified non-coding RNA, 252 nt
Filed under: Hevea brasiliensis (rubber tree)
Lineage: Eukaryota; Viridiplantae; Streptophyta; Magnoliopsida; Malpighiales; Euphorbiaceae
Source: RNAcentral
AUUACAUGAGCUUUGUAUGUGAUGAAAAAUAGAAGCAUAUAGAUAUAAAUGUACUCCAUUAAUAAGAUCAUUAUAGCUAUCAUUUACUCUUUUUCAUCACAUACAAAGCUCAUGUAAUUAUGAACUAUGACAUAUUGAACAUAAAUUGCUUUGAGAUGAUAUAUGGAGCAAUCUAUUAUGGGUUUUGAUUCUGAGGCCUAUUGGGAGGGGAUGGAGGGAGGUAAGGUAUCCAAGUUCUUGGGUCUCUUAGAU